Long non-coding RNA from Amphiprion ocellaris (clown anemonefish), 1216 nucleotides. The record is from Ensembl. NCBI's taxonomy places the organism in Eukaryota, Metazoa, Chordata, Actinopteri, Pomacentridae.
CUCAUGUUGGCGUUCUGUCGGUUACUCCUCGGUUCCCUCAUGUUGAUGUUCUGUCGGUUCCCUCAUGUUGAUGUUCUGUCGGUUCCUCCUCGGUUCCCUCAUGUUGACGUUCUGUCGGUUCCUCCUCGGUUCCCUCAUGUUGACGUUCUGUCGGUUACUCCUCGGUUCCCUCAUGUUGACGUUCUGUCAGUCCCCUCACGUUGAUGUUCUGUCAGGUUUCUCCUCAGUUCCCUCAUGUUGACGUUCUGUCAGUUCCCUCAUGUUGACGUUCUGUCAGGUUUCUCCUCAGUUCCCUCAUGUUUACGUUCUGUCAGGUUCCUUCAUGUUGACAUUCUAUCAGGUUUCUCCUCAGUUCCCUCAUGUUGACGUUCUGUCAGGUUCCUUCAUGUUGACGUUCUGUCAGGUUUCUCCUCAGUUCCCUCAUGUUGACGUUCUGUCAGGUUCCUUCAUGUUGACGUUCUAUCAGGUUUCUCCUCAGUUCCUUCAUGUUGACGUUCUAUCAGGUUUCUCCUCAGUUCCCUCAUGUUGACGUUCUGUCAGGUUCCUUCAUGUUGACGUUCUAUCAGGUUUCUCCUCAGUUCCCUCAUGUUGACGUUCUGUCAGGUUCCUUCAUGUUGACGUUCUAUCAGGUUUCUCCUCAGUUCCCUCAUGUUGAUGUUCUGUCAGGUUCCUUCAUGUUGACGUUCAGUCAGGUUCCUCCUGGGUUCUCCUGCAGCUCCUCUGAAAGCUUCCUUGUGUUCCUGCUGGCAGCCUGGGUUCCAUGUGACGGAACGUGUUCCUGUUGAGGUUCUAGUUUCAGAGGAAAAGUGUCAGCAUUUGGCUCCGUGGCUCGUCCCAGCGCGCACGUGUGAAGGAGGCGGGGCCACCGGGAGCUUUUCCCAUCAUUAGUGCACGUGAAGAAGCUCAGAGCUCCGCCCACUUCCUGUGACAUCACUGCUGCACAGAUCCAACGACAUGUGACCUCAUAGAUGAACACACACACACAGAGACACACAACAUGAACAGAAAAAACACAAAACUUCCUCGAAAUCAUGCAAAAUGUACACAAACACUAAACAACGACAGUUCAGUUAAUUUCUCCAGCGUUCCAGAACCCUGUGUGGUUCUGCAGCUUAGAUCCUGCAUUUAUAAAUGUAAAGACAGCAGCUGAACCUUCAUUCCUGCCAGUUGAAAGUAAAUGUUGGAUCUGCAGGUCAAACCGCUGCUGACUGCGAAA